RNA transcript from Pan troglodytes (chimpanzee), 8159 nucleotides. It is a transcript of the gene named interactor of little elongation complex ELL subunit 1, with no coding region annotated. The transcript is spliced from 20 exons. Lineage: Eukaryota; Metazoa; Chordata; Mammalia; Primates; Hominidae. The record is from RefSeq and is a predicted model, not a curated record.
GGACUGCGUCGCGCUCGGGGGCCGCGCCGGGUAGCGUUUCUUUUUAGUGCCUGAGGCAGCUCUGGCUCGGAGAGCCUUUUGCUAGCCCCACGGGGACCUCUGUGCACGGAUGGACCCGCCCGGACCUGGCGGGAAGCGGCCUGGCAGGCGGCGGCCCCGGCGGCAUCAGCAGAGACAGGACGGGGCCGACGCCGCGGGCCCCUGAGGCGUGCGUGCCCACCGGGCCCGGCGGCGGCACCAUGAUGCCGGGCGAGACCCAUUCGGCGGCGCCCGGGACGGCGGCGGACCUGUCGCGAUGUCAGGGCUGCGCCUCUCUGCAGCAGAAUUUGAAUGAAUAUGUUGAAGCAUUAAUUACCUUGAAACAAAAAAUUAUCAAUACAGAUAAUUUGUUAACAGAAUAUCAGAAGAAAUGUGAUGAGCUGCAGUUUGCAAGAAGAGAGAAUAGUAAUCUGCAUCACCAAGUGGAAGAGAUGCUUCAAAAAAUUUCUCCUCUACAGAAAUGUCAGGAAGAACUGGGAUCUUUAAAAGCAGAGCUAGAAGAGAAAAAGAGUUCUUUAAAGUUGUAUCAGGAUACUCAUCAGGAAUAUGCUCGUGUAAAGGAAGAAUGCUUGAAGAGUGAUGCUCAGAAGAAGAAACUAGAAGCUAAGGUGAAGAAGCUGCAAGAGGCUGCUGUCAAGCAAACUCAGGACUUCAAGCAACUGAGAAAUGAAAAGAAAAUACUUGAAAAGGAAUUUAAGAAGACACAGGAAAGGCUUGACGAAUUUUCUAAACAGAAAAAUGAAAAGGAGUUGAGACAUAUUGGAACACAAAUUUCAAGUGAUUCAUAUGGAAGCAUAGAUAAAAGAAAAGUGAAACUGCUUCUGAAGGAACUCUGGCUCUGUGUAAACACAACACACAGACUACCUGGUGAAGGCAGCAGGUGUGUCCCAGAAAAACCUGCCAAAGCAAUCACCAGCUCCAGAGUGCCUGGGGAAGAUGGUACGCUACCUCCAACACAGGGCAGCCCUCUCAGGACCUCAAAUGUGCAGACGUGCCUCACAAAACUGUCCAUGGAGAUAAAGGAGGACUUUUUAUGUCAAAAUGUGGAAAAACAGAGCUCCAGUGGAACAAAUUGUAGUUCUGACCAUGUUUUUAAUGAGAAUGGAAAUCUUGAGGUUUUAGUACAAAGUCAUCAUGACGGUGGUAGCACUGAAUUUGUUGAUCAUGAUCAUUUUUUUGAUGAAGAUCUUCAAGCUGCAAUUGACUUCUUCAAACUUCCCCCUCCUCUUCUGUCACCAGUGCCCUCGCCCCCUCCGAUGUCAUCACCUCACCCGGGUUCCUUACCUUCUUCAUUUGCACCUGAAACCUACUUUGGAGAAUAUACAGAUUCCAGCGAUAAUGACUCAGUCCAGCUUAGAAAUUCUGCUGAGUCUGUUUCAGAAGAUGAUACAACUGAAUCACAGAAUUAUUUUGGCUCAUUGAGAAAAAAUAAAGGAAGUGGCACAUGGGAGGAAAAGCCCAAAUCACACGAAGCUAUCCAAGCUCUGAAUACAUGGGAAAUAAAUAAAGUGACAACUGCUGGACUCAAGACUUUCACAGCAACACUGAGAGAAUCUUCUGCCACACACUCCUUAGUUGGUGAAAAACACUGGACCACAGCAUCUCGAUCCAUGAGUGAUAGAAAAAGAGACAUUUUACAUGAGACAAAAACACAAAUGGAGGUUAGGGAGAUGGAUAAGUCAGUACAAACUGAGAAGACCAUUCAUAAACUCACUCGAGGUCUAUGCAUUGAGAGAUUGUCUGCCAGCCCUGCACAAGAGAAGGAAGCUGCCCCUGGGAAGUCUGAGUUGUGUUCUUCUCCCCUUGGCAAAAGGCCAUUAAAUGAACUCAUGGAAUCUGAAGGAAAAACCGUAUUGUCUAAAAUGAUAGGAUCGCCCAAAUCAGAGUUUACUAAGUGGACACGAAUUAAUGAAAUCACUUCUGAACCAGACCGUAUCACAGUUUCUGGCCAUUUUCACAGACUGUCUAGAGAAUUGGAAAAGGAAAAAGAAGAUACUCAAGGGUUCACUUUAGGAGAAUCACCUGAAUCAGAAGAUGAUGACUCAGGUGAUGGAAUGGAUGUAGCAGGGCUUGACGUUGAAACCAGUUUUUCUUCCUCUUCUACCUUGGUAACAUUGUCUGUUGGCAGUAAUCCCCAGUCUUCUUCUGGGUUAGACUGUGGUAAUGAUACAGAUAUUACUACUAAAGUAUUCUCUACUGAACCGCAUCAUUCAGAACAUAAAUUGCAAAAUAAAACUUUAAACACAUUACAUCUGCAGUCUGAGCCACCGGAGUGUUCUAUAGGAGGAAACAACUUGGAGAAUAGCUUGUGUGCCUUGAGCCCUGAAUUGGGAGCAUCUAAUUUUAAUGAUCAGAAGAGCAGUGGGAUAGAAUAUACAAAAGUAGUAAAAGGCUUGACCAAAAUACAUUCACUUCCUCGGUCAGUAUUUAUGAAAGCUACAAAAGAUGGGCAAUGUGAAAGUCAAGAUCCAAGAAUUGAGCUCACACUAAAUAAGCCAGAUUUCACAUCAUUAAUAGGUUCUCAGGCUGCCUUGAUCAAGAGUGGUUUGGGUUUUGUUAAAAGUACUUCAUGGCACCAUAGUGAUUUAUUAAGGAAAGGUGACGAAGAAAGUCUGAGAGCCAAAUCAGAACAUGAACAGAAGACUAGCCAUCAGUUACAAAAGGCAAUGCCAUGCCUACAAAAUAGAGGACCAACACCCAAGCCUGAUCUUCUUAGAGAAAAUAACAAUCCUGUAGAAUUCAAGACCACUGCAUCGGUGUUGCCUAAUCAAGUAUCAGUUAUCACAAAACAGACAAGACCUGAAAAGGUUCAGAGUGCCACAUUGGAACACUUGAGGCCACAUAGGGUUGAGCCUACCUUAGUAACAGAAAAUAGUGGCAACAAAACCGGUAUGUCAACUAUAGCAAAAUGUGAUGGGGAAAGAGAUGAUACAACACAAAACAUCACGGAGGUGGCUGCUGUGAAAAGCAUUUCACCAGAAGUUUCUGCCUCUAGGAGAAAAUUAGAUUUUAAUUCUCCAGGUGGUUCUUCACCAGUAGAAAAUUCCGAUUGUUCCACAAAUAGCAGAUUAUCUUUCUCUCCUGAAAAUAUCCUCAUCCAAAACCAAGACAUUGUGAGAGAAGCUGCAGUGCAGGGAGAUGGGCAGAAGCAAAGGCAGCCUCAGGCCACAGAUCUGGACUCCAGUGGGACACAUGGCAGUGAGGUGCUUCCAGCCACAGAAGUGACCGUGUCAGGAGGGUUUUCUGUUGAAGAAACCAGCUGUGGAGACACAGGGAGAUCUGGUGGUGAGGCCCUGGCUGUUGCAAAUGAUUCUACUAGCACACCACAAAAUGCUAAUGGACUUUGGAAAUUGAAAUCUACAACUCCCGGUGGUGCUUUGCCUGAGUGUUUUGGCACCACAGACACUACUUUUUCUUCAGCAUUUUGCAGAAAACAUGGAGAGACACAGGAUACCUCCCAAAGUAGCCUGCCUGGUACCUUACAUUGUUACACAGGCAUUCGAGAGGGGGGAGACGACACUGAGGUAGAGAGUGAGGCAUUUAGCUGCAGUGAGGGGAGCGAACAGCAAGAUGCUCCUGAUGACUCACAGAAAAAUUUAGGAGAUACAGAUGCUGCUGUAGCCGAGGUGAGACCUUCCUUAGAGGUAGGUUAUUUGACGUCAGCUCUGCAAGAUUUUAACAUAAGUACUUUUUCUGAGCUGGAUAGACUUUCCACAUCAGAGGUUGUGAUGUUUCUUGAGAGCUGUCAGUUAGGGGAUUAUAGUUCAGGGGACUCUGUUUCUGAAUGUUCUAGUAAAGGAACCCUAAGUAAAGAAAUGAACAAAGAAUUAAAGGCAAGUGAAAUAGGAGAAAAAUACAGAAAGCAACCCUGCGAGGAAGAAACACUUGGAACCUGUGAAGAGUGGAUUGAAUCAGAGGAAGAUGAUUAUUCGUUAAAAAAUACAAGUCAGCUCACUCAGUGUUCUUUGGAAACUCUGUCUGAGGUUCUGACCAAGAUUAGGCAAGAACUUCAAACAAAUUCUGAAGAUUGCAAUGGUAAAGAUACUGGCAGUUUAUUGCUCUUAAAUGUAAAUAACAACAUGACCACUGAGAAUUUAAAAGAGAAAAGUCCAUUUCGGGAAACGACUGGCUCCUCAUCACAUGCUUCAGAACCAACCCCACAAGCAGCUGCCUUGGACACUGAGGGCAGCUCUCCCAUCAGCGGUAUGCCUCAGAAUGAAAACACUCAGAGCAGACCAGAGGCCCGUUCAGAUGCAGGCAGGCAAACCGAUGGUGGGGAAGAAGACCUGCCAGAACCUGUGGAGCCAUCAGCCUUGUGCUCUGACUCUGUGAUGGAGCCAUCCAUAGAGCAAAGUUCUAACUGCGAGGCCGAAACAACAUUUCAGUGUCAGAUAGCAACAGUGACCUCAGAAGUUAUAAACGUACUUAUAAAUAAGGAUCAGAAUCUAGUCAUUGAAAAGGGGGACAACUGGACAAUCAUCAGUGGUGUAGCUGUCUUGCCACAUGUGGACCAGGUCACACUGUGUGACAUUCCUGGAGACAUCCCUAUUUCUCAGGAUCAAGGAGAGCUGGAAGCUGGUUGCAUCCCAGUGACUUCUGCUGAGAAGUCCCCAGAGACCAGUCACACUGGCCCUGCAUUUCAGGAGGCUCCAUGUGGCAAUAAUCUUUCAUGUCCCCAAGAGGAUGUUUCAAGCAGUGGUCAGAGCACCAACUUUGAUAAGAGUCGUUUGCGAAAUAGACCCGUUAAGCCUAGUAUAUGGAUUAGUUCUCAAAUCUAUGAUCAAAACUUCGAGACUCAGAUUGUUGCGUCUGAUCACACAUAUUAUAACUCAAAACUAGAGCCAUCUGGCAAAAAUAAGAAUCGAUCAAAGAUUUCAAACAAAGAUCAGUCAAACAAACCAGUAAAAACUUCAGCGUCGAGCAGAGUUGAAACUCAUCAGAGUGAAGUUGCUCAGUCAUUUUCAGGGGAAAAAGCUAAUACAAAAACUCAAAGAAGCCAAACUCAGACCAUUUUAGCAAAUGCUGAUACAUCCACUCCUACAGAUUGUUCUCCUGACACACUGAGUAAAAUACGGCAAGAGGUGGGGCCUCCUUUGCCGCCUCUGCUUGCUCCUCUGGUAGCUACACCUCCAAGGACUUCACAGCCACUCUCUCCACUGAUAUCGAGUUCUAGUCCUUCCUCACCAGCCUCCCCUGUUGGCCAGAUUUCUCCCUUCUGUGAAACCCCAGUGCCUCCUGUCAUGUCUCCAUGGCCAGAGGACCCCAGACGUGCCUCUCCUCCAGAUCCUUCUCCAUCUCCAUCUGCAGUUUCAGCCAGUGAGAGGGUAGUGCCGUCUCCUCUGCAGUUCUGUGCGGCCACACCGAAGCACGCACUUCCUGUGCCUGGCCGACUCCCACCCUGUGCAUCUGGCCAUGCUGCUGUGGGAGGGCCUCAGGAGAAUUCUGUGAAAAUCCUUGACACCAUGUACCCAGAGUUAUCUGCCAGGGCCCGGACCCUCAACAUCCUCAAAGGGAAUAUUCAACUCACACGAGGUCCACCUGCUGACUGUAAGAAUUUACCGGGACCUGCCAGUGCUAUGAUAGGAUUCAAAACGAUCACUUCAGCAGCAACUGCUUUUGUCAAAACUGGGAGCAGCUCUGGUGGUGACUGUAACCAAGACAAGUCAAGAGAUUUGGGGACUCAGCAGGAUUCAAGCGGGAAAAGAACACUGUCAACGUCUACACUGAGAAGUGCUAAAAGACUGCGCCUGGACACUGGGUCCCCAGAACCAGAAACCAGGGGAGUCACUGCAGAAGGAAUCCACAAGAACCUCCCAGGGAACCUCCCUCCAGCUGAAGUUGCAACAACAAAUGAGGAAAGAAGUUGUUCUAGUCCAGCCGUCAGUGCAGUUUCACAGUUGCCUUUAAGCCCAAAAGAAACUGUGGAGUCCCAUGAUAAAGCCAUAGCUAAUGCCCUGAAGAAAAUUGCAGAGUUUUCUUUUGAUCUGUUACCUGUCAUUCGUAGUCAUGUGUAUGUGGGAAAUAUCUCCAAAAAGCCCGUAAUGAGAGAUCAAGAGAAAGAAGUUGUUUAUGAAUUUAGCACAACAAAAAAGCAUUUAGCAGAGUGCUUGCUUCACUCUAUUCUCUCAGAACUAAAAAUUCAGAAGAUAUCUAUGGACCACAAUUACAUUCACGCCCUCUGCAGGGUGUACGUGGGUAUUUGUCGGCAACUCGGAGACUUGGAAAGAGCUCGUUUGUUUUGCUACAGCCUACUUAAAGAAGAUUUUCCGGAGUCUGAAAAAUUAACUUUGUUUAUUGCAAACAUGUGGCAUGAUAUAUUUCUCUCUCAAUCGGUGAUUAAUAAAGCAAUGCAGUUAGUUGCCAGGCAACGUGCUAAAGGAGAGGUUCUGAACUGCUUGAGAGCUUUUCUUAAUUGGGAAAAGAAUGCCCCGGUAGAUGUUGGCUUCAUGGUUUCUAAGCUGCUUUUGACCAUACAGUUAUGUCCAAAAACAGAAUUUCAACCUAGUGAAAAAUUUGGUGAAGACCUAAGUGAUAACACUUGGGAAUACAUAUUUGCCAUUGAUCUGCUCUGCUGCCAUCAGAAAUGGAUCUGGACGCAUGAUAACAUCAUAAGUAAGGAGCUGUGGCCUGUGAUGGAUAAGUGGAUAAAAUACAGAAAAGGACAUGCGAACAUUGCGUAUACUCCUGAUAUUAUUAUAGCCUCAAUACUGAGGCUGAUUGGUCGUUUAGGCCAAUUGGGUUUGAAAGAAGGAUUUCCAUCUGCUGUGAAAAAUAUUAGUUCGGUUAUUGGUAUGUUUAUACAGCAUGCUCACGAUGAAGAUGCAGUUUACUCUGAUACUACAGUGGGUGUAACCUAGAAGCUGUGGUAAUCCUCGUCCCCAUGAGGGAGAAGGAGGAGCUGAUGUUGGGGCCUGCUAUAGAUUAGACCUUGUGCAUGGCACUGCCCCACAGCCUAACGGGAUCCCCAAGACAGCCAUCUGAGUGGAUGGCAUUGUCCUUCUUGUAUACAGGAGGAAACCAAAGCUCAGAGAGAAGAGUGAUUUGCUGAAGAUAUACCAUGGGGUAUACAGUUAGCAGCCGUGUAUGCUCUUUGUGACUUGAGUCCCAGCAAUCCAGCAGAAAUUUCCAAGAUCCUGGAAGCUUGGCGGAGAGAGGCCUCCAAAAGCGUUCCGUCUGCGAUUGUCAGCUGCCUAGAGGAAGUCAGUGCCCUGAGCACAGAGGAGCUUGGCUGACCCGGGAUGCCACUGAGGCUUGAGAAGUGCCUUGACACAUUUUGAACACAAAUAGUUUGAUCAGCUUUCAGAAUACAAAGGGAGGUUUCAAAACAAAAAGACAUAAAAUAGAUAAAACAGACCAGAGGCUCUCCUUAUUGUUUGGCAAGGAGACAGGAGAAACAAGCAGUCGCAUAGUCGUUUUUCCCUAAAUCUCAUACGUUUCACUUAAGGCUGUUGUGAUCUGUGACAUAUGGGUUAUAUUAUUGUGUCUUUGUCAAACAACAAAAACUUGAACUUAGCCCUUUUUUUGCUGCAGAAAGUGUCCUUUUAGUGGCUUCUUAAAAUUGAGUGGCAUUUUAUAAUGAACUUACCAAUAUAAAAACAUGAUUUGGUUCCUGAGCUGUUGUUGUUGGACUUGUGCUCCAAUGAGUGACUAGGAAAAAAUAAAUUGGCAAAAACCUAGAGUUUUCUGCUAUCUUAGCUGGAAAUGAGCUGCAAAAGUUUUUCUCAAGAUGUAGUGCGUAAUUGAUCAGAGCAAAACAUGGAGAGCCCUUAGCAGAAACCCACUUUAAUGCAUUUUCUUCAUAUCCCUAAAGUUCCUUAAAAAUAUGUGACAAUGCAUCAGGAAGAGGAGAACUGAAGAGUAGAAGUUCCCUUGCAGAUUUUUUUAUCAGUGACAUGUAACGAGCAAUUCACAGAUGAGCGCAGGCAGAGCUCUGUGUGUCGUGUACAUAUGGACCGUGCUAUGAUGUGUCUCACAUUGGAUGAUAUUCCACUUUGGGAAUUUUAGUAUUUGUAUAUAGAAAAUGGGUUUAAUAACUCACCAUGGUUUUGAUUUGUCUUAUAUUCGUUAUUUCUUAAAACUCUUGUAUGUUUUUAUAAUAAAAAAUAAAAGUAAGCCAUGGA